RNAcentral lists this long non-coding RNA (421 nucleotides) under Danio rerio (zebrafish). RNAcentral describes it as "lncRNA si:ch211-226h8.16 (ENSDARG00000104728.2)". Lineage: Eukaryota; Metazoa; Chordata; Actinopteri; Cypriniformes; Danionidae. The record is from RNAcentral.
GAAACGGACCAACAAAUCAAGAGGAAGAAGCUGUUGUGGUUUAAAAUUUGUAGCGCAGAGUUGGAUUGCGAGUUCAAGUGGCCUACAAGAUAUUUGAGUGUGUCCAUGUAAAAUGAGCAGUCUAGCAGUUUUAAUAUGUAACCAUCAAGCGUGAUUGUGUCAUGAACACCUACCUCAUUUGAAGAGUGUGUACAUCUACCUCAAUGAAGACUUGUAAAAGAAUAUGUGGACUGAAAGUGCAUUGGCUGAAUCUCAAAAUGCACACACAGCAGUGGAGAUCUUUAUUGUUUGGUCUGAGGAUGCUGGUCCUGGGGAUAUAUAUAUAUAUAUAUAUAUAUAUAUAUAUAUAUAUAUAUAUAUAUAUAUAUAUAUAUAUAUAUAUAUAUAUAUAGCUUUUAUUAAUAAAAGCUUUGUUAAAUUA